RNAcentral lists this transfer RNA (72 nucleotides) under Elusimicrobiota bacterium. Its description in RNAcentral is "Elusimicrobia bacterium (groundwater metagenome) tRNA-Arg". It matches the Rfam family "tRNA". Rfam says of the family: Transfer RNA (tRNA) molecules are approximately 80 nucleotides in length. Their secondary structure includes four short double-helical elements and three loops (D, anti-codon, and T loops). The record is from RNAcentral. Lineage: Bacteria; Pseudomonadati; Elusimicrobiota.
GUCCCCGUAGCUCAAUGGAUAGAGCAUCCGCCUUCUAAGCGGACGAUACAGGUUCGAUUCCUGUCGGGGGCA